Cucurbita pepo subsp. pepo (vegetable marrow) is the source of this 1478-nucleotide RNA transcript. It is a transcript of the gene named Prefoldin chaperone subunit family protein, with no coding region annotated. The record is from RefSeq and is a predicted model, not a curated record. Lineage: Eukaryota; Viridiplantae; Streptophyta; Magnoliopsida; Cucurbitales; Cucurbitaceae.
UUCUUUCGUUCUCUCCCGCUCACGGUCUCUGCGUCUCCGAGGGGGUAGGUUCUUCGACAAUCCCAGCCGGACGCUCACCGUUAGUCGCAGCAACCGCAUACAGCUUCUCCUCGCCGUCGCCGUCGCCGUCGUUCGUAGCAUCCACUCAGCAUUUAGUUAUUGUAUGUAGAGACAACUUCUCCUCUGCUUCAGCCGCGUUGAUUCUCCAUAGGAGGAUAGAAGUUUUGCCACUUUGUUGUUGAUAACUAUUUUAGAACAUCCACAAGGCUGUCACGAUCAGUUGGUGGUUAUUGAUCAUGGAUGUAGGAAUUGAUAACUUUCGGAAUGAGAAAGUUCAAAGGUUUGAGGAAUUUGUUGACCGUCGCUUGAAACCUGAUUUGGUGCAUGCAAUCGCUGAAAGGGACAAAGUGUUUGAGCAGCAGAAGGUGUUUUCAGACCUUCGUCGAAACAUUGAGAAUUUGGAGAAAAAUAGUAUAACUAAUCUCACAACGUUGGUCAAUCUUGGCUCUGAAGUCUAUGUACAAGGCAAUGUGGCAGAUACACAAAGAAUAUUUGUAGAUGUUGGGCUCGGGUUUCACGUGGAGUUCACGUGGUCUGAAGCUUUAAAGUUCAUUUCUCUCAAAGAAGAAAGGUUAGCCAGACAGAUAGAAGAAUACACUCAUUUAAUUGCAUCAAUUAAAGCGCAGAUCAAGUUGGUUUGUGAAGGGAUUCGUGAAUUAUUACAACUUCCAGCAGAGAAGACUGUGGAAGGACAUGUAUUUUAAGUUCCGUUCCUCAUAGUUCCUCCUUUUCUGGGAAUGAAGAUGGUCCUGAAGAAUCACUGCUCUGUAUAUUUCCUGGGAGAAGUUAUAGCUCUUGAAGAGAACGAGAGACCGACAAGAGACCAAUAACCAAAUUGGCUGAUGAAGGCAAGCAAGAAUAGGCCUGAAAGUUCUUCUGUUGCGCAUUGUUUGGACAAGGAAAGAACCCCAAAGGCAAAGCUAAAAAGCUGAAAAAAGAAGGAAAAAUAAAAGCUUUACAAAUCCCUGUAAUUUUAUUGGAAGCCAUUGCAGAAACUGCUCAGAAACCUUCCUGUUUCCCCUUUCUUCGCCAUGGUUUGUCUGGGAAUAUUGUUUGGCUGCAACAGCUCUCGCUCCUCAACUGACUAUCUUCUGUCAGCUUUACUCCUCAUAGCCAUUCUUUCCUCUCUCCGUCUCCUCUGCUACUUUCUCACCCGCUUCUUGAAGCGAUACCGUCAACGUCGCUACGACCCGAGUCCCGACCCCGCCAUCCAACUCCAGCCGCAGAUAUCAACUCCUCUGCCAGAUAACAAGCUUCUUGCCCCUGCUGCACCUGCACCUGCACCUGCACAUGCUCUUCCUCCUCUUCCUGCUUUCUCGAGAUAAUAGAGCAUGUUUUGUGUCGUUUUCGACGUUAAAAAAUGUCGUUCUUGAUGCCCCUUUUGUGCAUGAUUGUUCAGCUAGUGUUAUGCAUCGACG